This 85-nucleotide transfer RNA is filed under the name Felis catus (domestic cat). It matches the Rfam family "tRNA". Rfam says of the family: Transfer RNA (tRNA) molecules are approximately 80 nucleotides in length. Their secondary structure includes four short double-helical elements and three loops (D, anti-codon, and T loops). Further hydrogen bonds mediate the characteristic L-shaped molecular structure. tRNAs have two regions of fundamental functional importance: the anti-codon, which is responsible for specific mRNA codon recognition, and the 3' end, to which the tRNAs corresponding amino acid is attached (by aminoacyl-tRNA synthetases). tRNAs cope with the degeneracy of the genetic code in two manners: having more than one tRNA (with a specific anti-codon) for a particular amino acid; and 'wobble' base-pairing, i.e. permitting non-standard base-pairing at the 3rd anti-codon position. The record is from Rfam by way of RNAcentral. Lineage: Eukaryota; Metazoa; Chordata; Mammalia; Carnivora; Felidae.
ACCUGGCUGGCUUAGUCAGGUAAGCGUCUGACUUCGGCUCAGGUCACGAUGUCACGGUUCGUGGGUUCGAGCCCCACGUUGGGCU